RNAcentral lists this ribosomal RNA (496 nucleotides) under uncultured bacterium. RNAcentral describes it as "bacterial SSU rRNA". It matches the Rfam family "Bacterial small subunit ribosomal RNA", at positions 903 to 1397 of the family's 1533-position model. The record is from RNAcentral.
AAAUGAAUAGACGGGGGCCCGCACAAGCGGUGGAGCAUGUGGUUUAAUUCGAUGCAACGCGAAGAACCUUACCAGGUCUUGACAUCCAGGGGAUUCCUUGGAAACAAGGGAGUGCCAUUCAGGAACCCUGAGACAGGUGGUGCAUGGUUGUCGUCAGCUCGUGUCGUGAGAUGUUGGGUUAAGUCCCGCAACGAGCGCAACCCUUGCUAUUAGUUGCUAACAGGUAGAGCUGAGCACUCUAAUGGGACUGCCUGUGACAAGCAGGAGGAAGGUGGGGAUGACGUCAAAUCAUCAUGCCCUUUAUGAUCUGGGCUACACACGUGCUACAAUGGGUGGUACAGAGAGCAGCGAGACAGUGAUGUGGAGCGAAUCUCAAAAAGCCAUUCUCAGUUCGGAUUGUAGUCUGCAACUCGACUACAUGAAGGAGGAAUCGCUAGUAAUCGCGAAUCAGCAUGUCGCGGUGAAUACGUUCCCGGGCCUUGUACACACCGCCCGU